This 469-nucleotide ribosomal RNA is filed under the name uncultured bacterium. RNAcentral's name for it is "partial 16S ribosomal RNA". It matches the Rfam family "Bacterial small subunit ribosomal RNA", at positions 28 to 507 of the family's 1533-position model. The record is from RNAcentral.
GACGAACGCUGGCGGCGUGCUUAACACAUGCAAGUCGAACGGAAAGGCCCUGCUUGCAGGGUGCUCGAGUGGCGAACGGGUGAGUAACACGUGGGUGAUCUGCCCCUUACUUUGGGAUAAGCCUGGGAAACUGGGUCUAAUACUGGAUAGGACCAUGCUGUAGGUGGUGUGGUGGAAAGAUUAGUUUCGGUAAGGGAUGAGCUCGCGGCCUAUCAGCUUGUUGGUGGGGUAAUGGCCUACCAAGGCGUCGACGGGUAGCCGGCCUGAGAGGGUGGACGGCCACAUUGGGACUGAGAUACGGCCCAGAAUCCUACGGGAGGCAGCAGUGGGGAAUAUUGCACAAUGGGCGCAAGCCUGAUGCAGCGACGCCGCGGGGGGGAUGACGGCCUUCGGGUUGUAAACUCCUUUCAGCCAUGACGAAGCCCUUGUGGUGACGGUAGUGGUAGAAGAAGCACCGGCUAACUACGUG